UGGAUCCAGACUUUGAUCAUGGCUCAGGACGAACGCUGGCGGCGCGCCUAACACAUGCAAGUCGAACGGAGCUUACAGACGGAAGUUUUCGGAUGGAAGGCUGUAAGCUUAGUGGCGGACGGGUGAGUAACACGUGAGCAACCUGCCUAUCAGAGGGGGAUAACGAUUGGAAACGAUCGCUAAUACCGCAUGACAUAGCGGAAUCGCAUGGUUCUGUUAUCAAAGAUUUUAUCGCUGAUAGAUGGGCUCGCGUCCGAUUAGAUAGUUGGUGGGGUAACGGCCUACCAAGUCGACGAUCGGUAGCCGGACUGAGAGGUCGAACGGCCACAUUGGGACUGAGACACGGCCCAGACUCCUACGGGAGGCAGCAGUGGGGGAUAUUGCACAAUGGGGGAAACCCUGAUGCAGCGACGCCGCGUGAGGGAAGACGGUCCUCUGGAUUGUAAACCUCUGUCUUCGGGGACGAAACGAGACGGUACCCGAGGAGGAAGCCACGGCUAACUACGUGCCAGCAGCCGCGGUAAUACGUAGGUGGCAAGCGUUGUCCGGAAUUACUGGGUGUAAAGGGAGCGUAGGCGGGCAGGCAAGUCAGGCGUGAAAUAUAUCGGCUCAACCGGUAACGGCGCUUGAAACUGCAGGUCUUGAGUGAAGUAGAGGUUGGCGGAAUUCCUAGUGUAGCGGUGAAAUGCGUAGAUAUUAGGAGGAACACCAGUGGCGAAGGCGGCCAACUGGGCUUUUACUGACGCUGAGGCUCGAAAGUGUGGGGAGCAAACAGGAUUAGAUACCCUGGUAGUCCACACCGUAAACGAUGAUUACUAGGUGUGGGGGGACUGACCCCUUCCGUGCCUGAGUUAACACAAUAAGUAAUCCACCUGGGGAGUACGGCCGCAAGGUUGCAACUCAAAGGAAUUGACGGA
RNAcentral lists this ribosomal RNA (917 nucleotides) under uncultured Bacillota bacterium. Its description in RNAcentral is "bacterial SSU rRNA". It matches the Rfam family "Bacterial small subunit ribosomal RNA", at positions 1 to 917 of the family's 1533-position model. Lineage: Bacteria; Bacillati; Bacillota. The record is from RNAcentral.